GACGAACGCUGGCGGCGUGCCUAAUACAUGCAAGUAGAACGCUGAAGGAGGAGCUUGCUUCUCCGGAUGAGUUGCGAACGGGUGAGUAACGCGUAGGUAACCUGCCUGGUAGCGGGGGAUAACUAUUGGAAACGAUAGCUAAUACCGCAUAAGAGUAGAUGUCGCAUGACAUUUGCUUAAAAGGUGCAACUGCACCACUACCAGAUGGACCUGCGUUGUAUUAGCUAGUUGGUGAUGUAACGGCUCAACAAGGCAACGAUACAUAGCCGACCUGAGAGGGGGAUCGGCCACACUGGGACUGAGACACGGCCCAGACUCCUACGGGAGGCAGCAGUAGGGAAUCUUCGGCAAUGGACGGAAGUCUGACCGAGCAACGCCGCGUGAGUGAAGAAGGUUUUCGGAUCGUAAAGCUCUGUUGUAAGAGAAGAACGAGUGUGAGAGUGGAAAGUUCACACUGUGACGGUAUCUUACCAGAAAGGGACGGCUAACUACGUG
Molecule: ribosomal RNA, 495 nt
Filed under: uncultured bacterium
Lineage: Bacteria
Description: partial 16S ribosomal RNA
Rfam family: Bacterial small subunit ribosomal RNA
Source: RNAcentral